GCUAAAGCAGCAUUACUAUGCAUACAACGAAACCCUGAAAUGCGACCAUCAAUUGGAGAGAUUGUGCGCCUUCUCGAAGGAGAAAACAACCACAUCCAUCAUUUGGGGGAGAAAGUGUUACCUCUUUAUUAUGCAAGGAGAUGAAGAGAUUUUGUCUUUAAAUGGUUUUGGAGUAGAGCACUCAUGCUUGAAGAGUCACUUAGAUAAAG
RNAcentral lists this unclassified non-coding RNA (209 nucleotides) under Hevea brasiliensis (rubber tree). The record is from RNAcentral. Lineage: Eukaryota; Viridiplantae; Streptophyta; Magnoliopsida; Malpighiales; Euphorbiaceae.